UGCAGCUGCGUCAAAUUCAUUGCCCACCUUUCCUGUGGUGGGGAUUGGUCCAAACAGCUGCCACAGCAAUAUCUGUAGUUCAUGGGCCUCAGAACUCUUGGUGGGCUCUGGGGAUAGUUUUAUUGCAGACAUGG
RNAcentral lists this small nucleolar RNA (134 nucleotides) under Pogona vitticeps (central bearded dragon). RNAcentral's name for it is "Small nucleolar RNA SNORA5 (ENSPVIG00000016086.1)". It matches the Rfam family "Small nucleolar RNA SNORA5". Rfam says of the family: ACA5 is a member of the H/ACA class of snoRNA that guide the sites of modification of uridines to pseudouridines. The record is from Rfam by way of RNAcentral. Lineage: Eukaryota; Metazoa; Chordata; Lepidosauria; Squamata; Agamidae.